UCCCUACGGGGGGCUGCAGUGAGGAAUUUUGCGCAAUGGGGGAAACCCUGACGCAGCGACGCCGCGUGGAGGAAGACGGCCUUCGGGUUGUAAACUCCUGUCAGAGGUGAAGAAUGCCCGCAAGGGCUUGACGGUAACCUCAGAGGAAGCCCCGGCUAACUACGUGCCAGCAGCCGCGGUAAUACGUAGGGGGCAAGCGUUGCUCGGAAUUACUGGGCGUAAAGGGAGUGCAGGCGGCCGGUUAAGUCGAAGAUGAAAUCCCGAGGCUUAACUUCGGAAUGGUCUUCGAUACUGAUCGGCUUGAGGCUGGUUGAGGAGAGCGGAAUUCCCGGUGGAGCGGUGAAAUGCGUAGAUAUCGGGAGGAACACCAGAGGCGAAGGCGGCUCUCUAAACUAGUCCUGACGCUGAGACUCGAAAGCUAGGGGAGCAAACGGGAUUAGAUACCCCAGUAGUC
RNAcentral lists this ribosomal RNA (454 nucleotides) under uncultured bacterium. RNAcentral's name for it is "bacterial SSU rRNA". It matches the Rfam family "Bacterial small subunit ribosomal RNA", at positions 335 to 795 of the family's 1533-position model. The record is from RNAcentral.